GACGAACGCUGGCGGCGUGCCUAAUACAUGCAAGUAGAACGCUGAAGGAGGAUCUUGCUUCUCUGGAUGAGUUGCGAACGGGUGAGUAACGCGUAGGUAACCUGCCUGGUAGCGGGGGAUAACUAUUGGAAACGAUAGCUAAUACCGCAUAACAGUAGAUAUCGCAUGAUAUCUACUUGAAAGGUGCAAUUGCAUCACUACCAGAUGGACCUGCGUUGUAUUAGCUAGUUGGUGAGGUAACGGCUCACCAAGGCGACGAUACAUAGCCGACCUGAGAGGGUGAUCGGCCACACUGGGGCUGAGACACGGCCCAGACUCCUACGGGAGGCAGCAGUAGGGAAUCUUCGGCAAUGGACGGAAGUCUGACCGAGCAAAGCCGCGUGAGUGAAGAAGGGUUUCGGAUCGUAAAGCUCUGUUGUAAGAGAAGAACGAGUGUGAGAGUGGAAAGUUCACACUGUGACGGUAUCUGACCAGAAAGGGACGGCUAACUACGUG
Molecule: ribosomal RNA, 495 nt
Filed under: uncultured bacterium
Lineage: Bacteria
Description: partial 16S ribosomal RNA
Rfam family: Bacterial small subunit ribosomal RNA
Source: RNAcentral